RNAcentral lists this long non-coding RNA (248 nucleotides) under Salvia miltiorrhiza (redroot sage). Its description in RNAcentral is "long non-coding RNA (SMIL_LNC003443)". The record is from RNAcentral. Lineage: Eukaryota; Viridiplantae; Streptophyta; Magnoliopsida; Lamiales; Lamiaceae.
UGUGUUAGGAAAUUAGACGCAACUAAUUCCGCCCUGGAUCUAGUGUGACGCAAAAUUUUGGAUAUCGACCGAUAUGAAACGAGAAAAAAAAAAUGACACCGAUAUUUUUAACGUGGUUCGGCCAAACUGCCUACGUCCACGGACCCACACCAAUAUAUUAGAGAAUCUCAAAAGGAGGAGUACAACAAAAUAUCACACUGUAUUUUGUAUCUGCCUACGCAGAGGCUAUCUCUCAACUCUCUUUUAUC